CAUUAGGACUACCCUGGCCAAGGUUUUGCUAAAUUAAAAUAUGACUGUACACAGCUCCUGAACUGGAGUGGUCAAUCCCAUCUUGACACACGCACCGACAAGUCAAGUACUUGACUACACCCAACAGCCUUCCGUCACUGAAUUAGAAAUUCAGGUAGUCCAGUGCCUAAGUGCAGUGAGUUGCUUGCAAGUCACCAUGACGGUC
This 205-nucleotide long non-coding RNA is filed under the name Elaeis guineensis (African oil palm). RNAcentral describes it as "long non-coding RNA (EGUI_LNC020098)". Lineage: Eukaryota; Viridiplantae; Streptophyta; Magnoliopsida; Arecales; Arecaceae. The record is from RNAcentral.